Chenopodium quinoa (quinoa) is the source of this 1609-nucleotide long non-coding RNA. RefSeq lists it as uncharacterized. NCBI's taxonomy places the organism in Eukaryota, Viridiplantae, Streptophyta, Magnoliopsida, Caryophyllales, Amaranthaceae. The record is from RefSeq and is a predicted model, not a curated record. The transcript has 4 exons.
CGUAUAUGGGAAUGAAGAUAUAAACGUUUUAACACGUGUGUUAGAGAUUGCGCAAAGUCAAAUGAGGCAAAAAUAAAGGGAUGGAGGAAGUAAUUGCUAACCCAACGUCUCAAGACUCUCAAAGUCUCAAGUCAAAUGAGCUGCCAAUUCAUUGUUUGGGUCAAGUCCAUAAUGGGUUGGUUGCUGGUUCAUUUGUUGUCCUUCUACAAAACCCCCCCAGAAGGGCCACAACACCCAACUCACCACUCUCCCCUCAUUUGGCGAAAACCCUACUCAUCUCCGGGAGCUGAGCUGCAGUAAGACCAGCACCAGCAGCGAUGGCUGGAUCAAGUUACAUUGUUCGAACUUGGAAAUGUUAUUGAGUCCCUUGCUUAAGCCGCCUCAAGCUCAAAUGAGUAAUUUGGUGUGUUCAACUCUAAAGAAUGAUCGAAGAAUGGGAUUUGUGGUCUACCGCGUUCGUGUGAGAAGAGGUGGUCAUAGGAGGCCGGCGCCAAAGGUAUUGUGAAUGGUAAGCCAACAAACAAGGGUUUAACUCAGUUGAAGUUCCAGCACAGCAAGAGGUCAGUUGCCAAAGAGCGUGCUGGCCACAAAUUGGGUGGCCUUAGGAUUCUCAAUUCCUACAGGCUCAAUGAGGUUUUCCACCUGGUUACCCCAUUUUAGCUUCAUAUGCUAAAUAUGGUUGGAAUUUUUUUAUUUUGAUUUUUCUUAAAAAUUGGGCAAAUGAUGAGUAAUCUUGAGUUCCUAUAGUUGUAGCCAACACCACUUUGUGGUAGGAGGCUCACUAUAGAUGAGUUUGCUUUGAGCAAAUGUUGAAUGCAGUCUUUCAUUUUAUAGCUAUAGCCUCCCUGCGCUGCGGUUGUUGAGGCUUUGCUAAUGAUCUUUUGUUUCAUAGCAAUAGCCACCCCACUUUGUGGUUGUUGUGGCUUUGCUAAUGCAGUCUUUAAUGUUAUAGCUAUAGCCACCCUGCUUUGCGGUAGUUGAGGCUUUGCUAUAGACUUUGCUGCUGUUGCUAAAUUGCUACUACUGUUGUUGUCUUUGUCUUUGUUGUUGUUGUUGUUGUUGAUGUUGCUGCUAUUCUGUUCUGCUGCUGCUGCUGCUGCUGCUACUGCUGUUCAUUAUGCCUCUUCCUUCCUAUUCAUUCCCUUCUCUUUUGACAAUUAUUUGAGGAAGUAAACUUUCAUGCAUUAUGGAGUACGGAGAAAUCCUUACAACACUGUUCGCAACGCCACAGAAACAACUCGAGAAUCAACUGGAAUUACAAUCCUGUCCACAAGCAUAGAGGAGAGCUCUGUGACAUAUACAUUCGCAGGUGAAAAUACAGCAGUUUUGGCAGUGGUCAACCUCAAGAACAGGCCAUCUUGCAGGGCAAACAUGGAACAUAAACCAGACCAAAUCCUUUCGUCGAUACAUCUAAUUUCGGUUAUUUGGCCUUUUUUCGCAUCAAAUAUUGGGUUCUUUUUUAGUCUGUAUUGCUACUUAAUCUGUAAUUAAAGUACUGAAUUGUUCAAGUCUAUCUUUCUUAAACAGGCAAAACAGCAGUCUAAGACAGAUGGUGUAUCUAAUUCUGGUUGAAAUAAAAUAUUGGAAACUUUCUUCUAGUCCCUUUUCA